Molecule: long non-coding RNA, 583 nt
Filed under: Homo sapiens (human)
Lineage: Eukaryota; Metazoa; Chordata; Mammalia; Primates; Hominidae
Description: FTX transcript, XIST regulator
Source: RNAcentral
GGGAGGCUGAGGCAGGAGAAUCGCUGGAACCCGGGAGGUGGAGGUUGCAGUGAGCUGAGAUCAUGCCACUGCACUCCAGCCUCGGUGACAGAGGCAGACUCCGCCUCAAAGAAAAAUAAAUCUUCUGUAAUAUCUCAUCAUAGUAUUAAUUUCCAUCAUGUCCUUAUUGACAUUUCCCUAUCCUCAGGGGAAUGUUCUUUCAUGACUUUUGCCCAUUUUCUAAUUUAAAGCUUUGGAUUUUUAAUACUAUCUUUUGAGAAUUAUGUAAAUAUUCUAGCCAUAAGUCCAAUGUUGGAUAUGAGAUUUGAAAACAAAGGGCCGGGCAUGGUGGCUCACACCUAUAAUCCCAGUACUUUGGGAGGCAGAGGCGAGCAGAUUACCUGAGGUCGGGAAUUCGAGACCAGCCUGACCAACAUGGAGAAACCUCAUCUCUACUAGAAAUAACAAAAAAAUUAGGCGGGCGUACUGGCACAUGCCUGUAAUCCCAUCUAUUUGGGAGGUUGAGGCAGGAGAAUCACUUGAACCCGGGAGGCAGAGCUUGCAGUAAGCUGAGAUCAUGCCACUGCACUCCAGCCUGGGCGAC